UUGUCAUGCAGUGAUGGGCUUUCAAGAAAGGAAAAAACCCACAAUGUCAUAGGACGAAAGACAGUCAAUAGUGAACCAUCCAAGUCAAUGUUUCAUGGACAACCAUAAGAAUAUUCCUGCCAAAAGGUUUCCUUGCAUGAAGUGAGGAAGAUCAGUUGUUAUUCAGAACCCAUUUCUACAUGUGAAAAUAAAGCUACUUCCAUGUC
RNAcentral lists this long non-coding RNA (206 nucleotides) under Dromaius novaehollandiae (emu). Its description in RNAcentral is "lncRNA (ENSDNVG00000006995.1)". The record is from RNAcentral. Lineage: Eukaryota; Metazoa; Chordata; Aves; Casuariiformes; Dromaiidae.